CUUAGGAUGAACGCUAGCGACAGGCCUAACACAUGCAAGUCGAGGGGCAGCACAAGGAGCAAUCUGAGGUGGCGACCGGCGCACGGGUGAGUAACACGUAUGCAACCUGCCUGUAAGCGGGGAAUAACCCGUUGAAAGACGGACUAAUACCGCAUAAUACUAAAUUACUGCAUGGUAAUUUAUUUAAACAUUUAUGGCUUACAGAUGGGCAUGCGCAUGAUUAGCUAGUUGGAGAGGUAACGGCUCCCCAAGGCAACGAUCAUUAGGGGUUCUGAGAGGAAGGUCCCCCACACUGGUACUGAGACACGGACCAGACUCCUACGGGAGGCAGCAGUGAGGAAUAUUGGUCAAUGGACGAGAGUCUGAACCAGCCAAGUCGCGUGCAGGAAGAAUGUCCUAUGGAUUGUAAACUGCUUUUGCAGGGGAAUAAAGUGCAUCACGUGUGAUGUUUUGUAUGUACUCUGCGAAUAAGGAUCGGCUAACUCCGUGCCAGCAGCUGC
Molecule: ribosomal RNA, 500 nt
Filed under: uncultured bacterium
Lineage: Bacteria
Description: bacterial SSU rRNA
Rfam family: Bacterial small subunit ribosomal RNA
Source: RNAcentral